AACGAACGCUGGCGGCAGGCUAAACACAUGCAAGUCGAGCGAGACCUUCGGGUCUAGCGGCGGACGGGUGAGUAACGCGUGGGAACGUGCCCUUCUCUACGGAAUAGCCCCGGGAAACUGGGAGUAAUACCGUAUACGCCCUUUGGGGGAAAGAUUUAUCGGAGAAGGAUCGGCCCGCGUUGGAUUAGGUAGUUGGUGGGGUAAUGGCCCACCAAGCCGACGAUCCAUAGCUGGUUUGAGAGGAUGAUCAGCCACACUGGGACUGAGACACGGCCCAGACUCCUACGGGAAGCAGCAGUGGGGAAUCUUAGACAAUGGGGGCAACCCUGAUCUAGCCAUGCCGCGUGAGUGAUGAAGGCCUUAGGGUUGUAAAGCUCUUUCAGCUGGGAAGAUAAUGACGGUACCAGCAGAAGAAGCCCCGGCUAACUCCGUG
RNAcentral lists this ribosomal RNA (433 nucleotides) under uncultured bacterium. RNAcentral describes it as "partial 16S ribosomal RNA". It matches the Rfam family "Bacterial small subunit ribosomal RNA", at positions 29 to 507 of the family's 1533-position model. The record is from RNAcentral.